AGUGAACGCUGGCGGUAGGCCUAACACAUGCAAGUCGAACGGCAGCACAGUAAGAGCUUGCUCUUACGGGUGGCGAGUGGCGGACGGGUGAGGAAUACAUCGGAAUCUACUUUUUCGUGGGGGAUAACGUAGGGAAACUUACGCUAAUACCGCAUACGACCUACGGGUGAAAGCAGGGGAUCUUCGGACCUUGCGCGAUUGGAUGAGCCGAUGUCGGGUUAGCUAGUUGGCGGGGUAAAGGCCCACCAAGGCGACGAUCCGUAGUUGGUCUGAGAGGAUGAUCAGCGACACUGGAACUGAGACACGGUCCAGACUACUACGGGAGGCAGCAGUGGGGAAUAUUGGACAAUGGGCGGAAGCCUGAUCCAGCCAGACCGCGUGGGUGAAGAAGGCCUUCGGGUUGUAAAGCCCUUUUGUUGGGAAAGAAAAGCAGCAGGUUAAUACCCCGCUGUUCUGACGGUACCCAAUGAAUAAGCACCGGCUAACUACGUG
RNAcentral lists this ribosomal RNA (492 nucleotides) under uncultured bacterium. RNAcentral describes it as "partial 16S ribosomal RNA". It matches the Rfam family "Bacterial small subunit ribosomal RNA", at positions 29 to 507 of the family's 1533-position model. The record is from RNAcentral.